UCCGGUUUGACACCGGCAGUCUCGCUAGAGUCCUCGCCAUGACGCGUUAGUAACUAACGAUAGGGGUUGCGCUCGUUAAGGGACUUAACCCGACACUUCACAGCACGAGCUGACGACAGCCAUGCAGCACCUGUGCACGUUCCACCCAAAGGGCGUGGCCAAUCUUUCGAAAGGUUAAUCCGUGCAUGUCAAACCCAGGUAAGGUUCUUCGCGUUGCCUCGAAUUAAGCAACAUGCUCCACCGCUUGUGUGAGCCCCCGUCAAUUCCUUUGAGUUUUAGCCUUGCGACCGUACUCCCCAGGCGGCACACUUAACACUUUUGCUUCGGCCGCGACGACGUCAGAGCCGCCGCGACCUAGUGUGCAUCGUUUACGGCGUGGACUAC
RNAcentral lists this unclassified non-coding RNA (384 nucleotides) under uncultured Phycisphaeraceae bacterium. Its description in RNAcentral is "contains 16S-23S intergenic spacer region". The record is from RNAcentral. Lineage: Bacteria; Pseudomonadati; Planctomycetota; Phycisphaerae; Phycisphaerales; Phycisphaeraceae.